GUGGGGAAUAUUGGACAAUGGGCGAAAGCCUGAUCCAGCAAUGCCGCGUGAGUGAUGAAGGCCUUAGGGUUGUAAAGCUCUUUUACCAGGGAUGAUAAUGACAGUACCUGGAGAAUAAGCUCCGGCUAACUCCGUGCCAGCAGCCGCGGUAAUACGGAGGGAGCUAGCGUUGUUCGGAAUUACUGGGCGUAAAGCGCGCGUAGGCGGCUCAGCAAGUCAGGGGUGAAAUCCCGGGGCUCAACCCCGGAACUGCCUUUGAAACUGCUAGGCUAGAAUCCUGGAGAGGCGAGUGGAAUUCCGAGUGUAGAGGUGAAAUUCGUAGAUAUUCGGAAGAACACCAGUGGCGAAGGCGACUCGCUGGACAGGUAUUGACGCUGAGGUGCGAAAGCGUGGGGAGCAAACAGGAUUAGAAACCCUUGUAGUCC
RNAcentral lists this ribosomal RNA (425 nucleotides) under uncultured bacterium. RNAcentral describes it as "partial 16S ribosomal RNA". It matches the Rfam family "Bacterial small subunit ribosomal RNA", at positions 354 to 796 of the family's 1533-position model. The record is from RNAcentral.